This 253-nucleotide ribosomal RNA is filed under the name uncultured bacterium. Its description in RNAcentral is "partial 16S ribosomal RNA". It matches the Rfam family "Bacterial small subunit ribosomal RNA", at positions 524 to 776 of the family's 1533-position model. The record is from RNAcentral.
UACGUAGGGUGCAAGCGUUGUCCGGAAUUAUUGGGCGUAAAGAGCUUGUAGGCGGUUUGUCGCGUCUGCUGUGAAAUUUCGGGGCUCAACCCCGAACUUGCAGUGGGUACGGGCAGACUAGAGUGUGGUAGGGGAGACUGGAAUUCCUGGUGUAGCGGUGAAAUGCGCAGAUAUCAGGAGGAACACCGGUGGCGAAGGCGGCUCUCUGGUCCACAACUGACGCUGAGGUGCGAAAGCUAGGGGAGCAAACGGG